This 206-nucleotide ribosomal RNA is filed under the name uncultured bacterium. Its description in RNAcentral is "partial 16S ribosomal RNA". It matches the Rfam family "Bacterial small subunit ribosomal RNA", at positions 568 to 774 of the family's 1533-position model. The record is from RNAcentral.
AGCGUAGGCGGAUUUUUAAGUGAGAUGUGAAAUACCCGGGCUUAACCUGAGUGCUGCAUUUCAAACUGAAAGUCUAGAGUGCAGGAGAGGAGAAGGGAAUUCCUAGUGUAGCGGUGAAAUGCGUAGAGAUUAGGAAGAACACCAGUGGCGAAGGCGCUUCUCUGGACUGUAACUGACGCUGAGGCUCGAAAGCGUGGGAGCAAACA